This 403-nucleotide unclassified non-coding RNA is filed under the name soil metagenome. Its description in RNAcentral is "partial contains 5.8S ribosomal RNA, internal transcribed spacer 2, and large subunit ribosomal RNA". The stretch from base 1 to 121 matches the Rfam family "5.8S ribosomal RNA", at positions 35 to 154 of the family's 154-position model. The record is from RNAcentral.
GAUGAAGAACGUAGCGAAAUGCGAUAAGUAAUGUGAAUUGCAGAAUUCAGUGAAUCAUCGAAUCUUUGAACGCACCUUGCGCCCUUUGGCCAUUCCGAAGGGCAUGCCUGUUUGAGUAUCAUGAACACCUCAACUCUUUAUGGUUUGCCAUGAUGAGCUUGGACUUUGGGGGUUUUGCUGGCCUUUGGUCGGCUCCUCUCAAACGGAUCAGCUUUCCAGUGUUUGGUGGCGUCACUGGUGUGAUAACUAUCUACGCCUGUGGUUUUCUGCCAGAUAACCUUCAGCGAUGGAGGUUCGCUGGGGCUCAUAAAUGUCUCUCUUCAGUGGAGACAGCUUUUUGGACGUUUGAUCUCAAAUCAGGUAGGACUACCCGCUGAACUUAAGCAUAUCAAUAAGCGGAGGA